This is a non-coding RNA of Cyprinodon tularosa, 308 nucleotides long. RefSeq annotates it as small Cajal body-specific RNA 2. The record is from RefSeq and is a predicted model, not a curated record. The transcript has a single exon. NCBI's taxonomy places the organism in Eukaryota, Metazoa, Chordata, Actinopteri, Cyprinodontiformes, Cyprinodontidae.
GUUUGUGUGAGUGAAUGUGGAGCGUCUGUCUGUGUGUUUGUUCUUCUGUAUUUUCUGUUAAAACCUACACAGUGAUCUUAUUUGAUCCGACCUGAGUUUGGCUCUGCUCCGGUCGGAAAUGAUAGGAAAAGCGCUCUGCAGCCCCCCGUGGCAGUGAGCAGCCGGCGAGAAAAAAAACACGAAGGGCCUCCACGCUUCGUGCUGUGGUCAGAAGUGAUGAAUUGAUCAGAUAUACUAGUUCUGGUUGAGCCAGAGCUUUGCUUAAGGCCUCACCGUGGACAAUGAGUAUAGAGGCGAUUCUGAUCUAA